This 497-nucleotide ribosomal RNA is filed under the name uncultured bacterium. RNAcentral's name for it is "partial 16S ribosomal RNA". It matches the Rfam family "Bacterial small subunit ribosomal RNA", at positions 28 to 507 of the family's 1533-position model. The record is from RNAcentral.
GACGAACGCUGGCGGCGUGCCUAAUACAUGCAAGUUGAGCGAUGAAGAUUGGUGCUUGCACCAAUUUGAAGAGCAGCGAACGGGUGAGUAACGCGUGGGGAAUCUGCCUUUGAGCGGGGGACAACAUUUGGAAACGAAUGCUAAUACCGCAUAACAACUUUAAACAUAAGUUUUAAGUUUGAAAGAUGCAAUUGCAUCACUCAAAGAUGAUCCCGCGUUGUAUUAGCUAGUUGGUUAGGUAAAGGCUCACCAAGGCGAGGAUACAUAGCCCACCUGAGAGGGGGGUCGGGCACACUGGGGCUGAGACCAGGCCCAAACUCCUACGGGAGGCACCAGCAGGGAACCUUCGGCAAUGGAGGAAAGUCUGACCGAGCAACGCCGCGGGAGGGAAGAAGGUUUUCGGAUCGGAAAACUCUGUUGGUAGAGAAGAAAGUUGGUGAGAGUGGAAAGCUCAUCAAGUGACGGUACCUACACAGAAAGGGACGGCUAACUACGUG